AAGGAGUCUAACAUCUACGCGAGUAUUUGGGUGGUAAACUCUUAUUCGUAAUGAAAGCGAAAAGGAGGGAUCUGCAUAUAGUGCACCCUCCACCGCCCCAGAUUAUUGCUAUCUCGGUGUGAGUAUGAGCAUAUCUGUUGGGACCCGAAAGAUGGUGAACUAUGCCUGAAUAGGGUGAAGCCAGAGGAAACUCUGGUGGAGGCUCGUAGCGGUUCUGACGUGCAAAUCGAUCGUCAAAUUUGGGUAUAGGGGCGAAAGACUAAUCGAACCAUCUAGUAGCUGGUUCCCUC
Molecule: unclassified non-coding RNA, 290 nt
Filed under: uncultured fungus
Lineage: Eukaryota; Fungi
Description: partial contains 5.8S rRNA, ITS2 and 28S rRNA
Rfam family: Eukaryotic large subunit ribosomal RNA
Source: RNAcentral